This 333-nucleotide unclassified non-coding RNA is filed under the name uncultured fungus. Its description in RNAcentral is "partial contains small subunit ribosomal RNA, internal transcribed spacer 1, and 5.8S ribosomal RNA". The stretch from base 1 to 73 matches the Rfam family "Eukaryotic small subunit ribosomal RNA", at positions 1759 to 1831 of the family's 1831-position model. The record is from RNAcentral. Lineage: Eukaryota; Fungi.
GCAAACUUGGUCAUUUAGAGGAAGUAAAAGUCGUAACAAGGUCUCCGUUGGUGAACCAGCGGAGGGAUCAUUACAGAGUUAUACAACUCCCACACCAUUUGUCAACUUACUCAGUUAUGCCUCGGCGUAAGCUCCGUACGGGGCUGCCGGGUGCGUUGCGGGCGACAGCUACCCUGUAGCUUACCCUGUAGCGCUACCCUGUAGCGUACCCUGCGGCGGCCCGCCGGUGGAAACGAAACUCUUGUUUUAUUGUAUCGUCUGAGCGUCUUAUUUUAAUAAGUUAAAACUUUCAACAACGGAUCUCUUGGUUCUGGCAUCGAUGAAGAACGCAGC